This 253-nucleotide ribosomal RNA is filed under the name uncultured bacterium. RNAcentral's name for it is "partial 16S ribosomal RNA". It matches the Rfam family "Bacterial small subunit ribosomal RNA", at positions 524 to 776 of the family's 1533-position model. The record is from RNAcentral.
UACGUAGGGGGCUAGCGUUGUCCGGAAUCAUUGGGCGUAAAGAGCGUGUAGGCGGCCCGGUAAGUCCGCUGUGAAAGUCCAGGGCUCAACCCUGGGAUGCCGGUGGAUACUGUCGGGCUCGAGUCCGGAAGAGGCGAGUGGAAUUCCUGGUGUAGCGGUGGAAUGCGCAGAUAUCAGGAGGAACACCAAUAGCGAAGGCAGCUCGCUGGGACGGUACUGACGCUAAGGCGCGAAAGCGUGGGGAGCGAACAGG